Molecule: ribosomal RNA, 468 nt
Filed under: uncultured bacterium
Lineage: Bacteria
Description: partial 16S ribosomal RNA
Rfam family: Bacterial small subunit ribosomal RNA
Source: RNAcentral
GACGAACGCUGGCGGCGUGCCUAACACAUGCAAGUCGAACGGAAAGGCCCUGCCUUGGGGGGCUGCUCGAGUGGCGAAGGGGGGAGCAACACGUGGGUAACCUGCACUUGACUUUGGGAUAACUUCAGGAAACUGGGGCUAAUACCGGAAAGGAGCUCCCGCUGUAUGGUGGGGGUGGGAAGGUUUCGGCGGUUGGGGAUGGACUCGCGGCCUAUCGGCUUGUUGGUGUGGUAGUGGCUUACCAAGGCAUGGACGGGUAGCCGUCCUGGGAGGGUGACCUGACACAUUAGACUUGGGCUGCGACCCGGCCCACACUGGUAGGCAGGGGAGGAGAAUAUUGCACAAUGCGAGGAGGGCUGGUCUGGUCCCGCCGUGUGGGGGGUGAGGGGAUUGGGUUAGGAAUCUGCUUUCGCUUGUGACGAGGCGUUAAUGACGGUACUGGGUAAAGAAGCACCGGCUAACUCCGUG